GCUUGUAAUAGAUUCAGAUUAAGUAUGCUAAUUAGAUAUGUGCGCAUAAAAAGUGCGCACAAAUCUCAGUGUGUAAUUUUAAAUUCUCAGUGUGUAAUUUUAAAUUCUCAGUGUGUAAUUUCAAAUUCUCAGUGUGUGUUUUCAGUUUAUUUAUUCUCAGUGUGUCUUUUUGAAAUCUCAGUGUGUAAUUUUCAAUUCUCAGUGUGCGUUUUUCAUUUUUGUAAUCUCAGUGCGUCAUUAUGAAAUCUCAGUGUGUAAUUUUUAA
Molecule: long non-coding RNA, 265 nt
Filed under: Mytilus galloprovincialis (Mediterranean mussel)
Lineage: Eukaryota; Metazoa; Mollusca; Bivalvia; Mytilida; Mytilidae
Source: RNAcentral